UUAAUUUAAAUCAUAUUUAUAUUAAAACAACAAUUAAUUAAAGUUCUAAUUAAAUUUUAAAUUAAUACUGUUAACUAACUUCACUUUAUGGCUUUAGUUUGAUUUGUUGUGAUUGUUCCAAAUGACAGUUUUAAAAUCCUUAAUUUAAUUGGUUGAUUAACGAAGGUGCAAGAUAAUUUUUCCAUGUUUAAAACUUAAAAAUAAAUGUUUGGGAAACAAACAAAACAAAA
Onthophagus taurus is the source of this 230-nucleotide non-coding RNA. Lineage: Eukaryota; Metazoa; Arthropoda; Insecta; Coleoptera; Scarabaeidae. The record is from RefSeq and is a predicted model, not a curated record.